RNAcentral lists this ribosomal RNA (346 nucleotides) under uncultured bacterium. RNAcentral's name for it is "partial 16S ribosomal RNA". It matches the Rfam family "Bacterial small subunit ribosomal RNA", at positions 338 to 681 of the family's 1533-position model. The record is from RNAcentral.
CCUACGGGAGGCAGCAGUGAGGAAUAUUGGUCAAUGGACGAGAGUCUGAACCAGCCAAGUAGCGUGAAGGAUGACUGCCCGAUGGGUUGUAAACUGCUUUUAUAGGGGAAUAAAACGUUCCACGUGGGGGAUUUUGCAUGUACCAUAUGAAUAAGGAUCGGCUAACUCCGUGCCAGCAGCCGCGGUAAUACGGAGGAUCCGAGCGUUAUCCGGAUUUAUUGGGUUUAAAGGGAGCGUAGGUGGAUUGUUAAGUCAGUUGGGAUAGUUUGCGGCUCAACCGUAAAAUUGCAGUUGAAACUGGCAGUCUUGAGUACAGUAGAGGUGGGCUGACUUCGUGGUGUCGCGG